CGUUACCUCGCUUUUUCGACUCUUUCUCUCUUUUCAAUUCGCCGAUGACACGCGUCCCUCAAACAAUACCAAACAUACGCUACAUUUCUUUCUUUUUAUACCCUUUCUCCCCCCCCCUUGAUCUUCUGCAUCUACUUCUUCUUCUUCAUUUCUCUCUCUACCCCAUUUUCUUGCCCUUACUCCUUCUUGCCAGACCUAAGGCCAACCAUCAAAGAGUAAUCACGGGCACAUCACGUAUAAUGUUUUCUUUUCGGUUUGCACCCUCUCUAAACUAGUCCACGCAUCUCUCUCCAAAGAAGCAGACGAAGAAGACGACUCCAAAUAGGGCUGUAUGCGCUUCUCUCUCAACCGGUCUUUUCGUUUUUGGGAGUAAUCGUAAUGCAACCCUUUAUUUGUUGCUUACGUUCGCAUGAAGUUCGAGAAAAUGCUUUAAUUUCAAUCUCAGGAUUGGGAGAUUUUGAGACAAAUAAUAUACAGACCUACAUGGAGUAUGGAGUGGCUCCAGCUAGUAAGAAAUGAUCAAAAUUUAAAAGCGGAAAUAUGCAAAAGAAUUUUUUAGAGCUAUUGCACUGAUCCUAAGAAGGUUUCUUAAUGAAGAAUGCCAACAAAUUUCCAAAACCCACAAACAGAGUAGAAGCAAAACAAAAACCAGCCCAGUCCUCACAAUUGGGGUUUCAUCCGAAGAAAGCCACAAAAACCAGCUGAUCCGGUUGAUUUCGUGUUCUGCUACAGGGAUUGGAGUCUGAGGACGUGAAUACCAAGAACCCAAAUGGGGUUUCAUCCGAAGAAAGCCACAAUUGAAGACCGGCGCCUAUUGUGGUACGGGUACCUCUAAGACCCUUCUCUGGCGAGGAGGCCCAGCCGGUCAGGCCGUCACUAGAAGAGAAAAAGGUUGGCGAGCGGUUGCCCCAACAAAAUUAGUUGCCCGUGGAGGUUGUUGAUAGAGGGCUAGAAGUUGGGCUAGUUCGGUUGGUUCGGCUGGUUCAGCCAUGGCGUUCUUGUUGGGAAAGGAAGGAGGACGGGUGAAGUGAGGGACGCGUGAAGGAGAGAGCGAGG
This is a long non-coding RNA of Alnus glutinosa, 1056 nucleotides long. RefSeq lists it as uncharacterized. Lineage: Eukaryota; Viridiplantae; Streptophyta; Magnoliopsida; Fagales; Betulaceae. The transcript has 4 exons. The record is from RefSeq and is a predicted model, not a curated record.